CCUAGCAAAUUGCCGUGUCCCUUCAGCGCCUCGCCGACUAGCACACCGCUGUGACCCUCGCCGCCUAGCAAAGCAGCGCGUGCCUUCGCCGCCUCGCUGCUUAAGAAAGCGCUGCGUGCCUUUUCGCCCUCGCCGCCUAGCAAAGCACCUAGCAAAGCGCCGUAUGCCGUCGACGACUACCAAAUCGCUUGGUGGCUUCGCUGCCUCGUGCCUUAGCAAAGCACCACAUGCCUUCGGCGCCUACAAAAGCGCUGUGUCCCUUCGGCGCUACUAGGGUGUUUGCUAAGCAGCGAGGCGGCGAAGGCACACAGUGCUUUGGCAGGCGGCGAGGCGGCGGAGGGACGCAGUGCUUUGGCAGGCGGCAAAGGGUCGCAUCGGUUGCUUAGUUUGCGAGGCAGCGAAGAGAUCGAGUGCUUUGCUUGUUGGCGAGGCAGCGAACAGAUUCAUUCAGUCUGCUUGUCUGUGAGACAGCCAACGUGCAGAGUGGCUCAUUUUUCGGCAAGGCAGCGAAGAGACGCAGCACUUUGCUUGUCCAGCAGGUGGCGCGGUUGCAUCGCGGAUUGCUUUUUGGCGUGGAGGUGA
This 582-nucleotide long non-coding RNA is filed under the name Apteryx haastii (Great spotted kiwi). Its description in RNAcentral is "lncRNA (ENSAHAG00000008901.1)". Lineage: Eukaryota; Metazoa; Chordata; Aves; Apterygiformes; Apterygidae. The record is from RNAcentral.